CCCUUAGAUGUUCUGGGCCGCACGCGCGCUACACUGACGAAGUCAGCGAGCAUGUCCUACGCCGAUAGGUGCGGGGAAUCUUGUGAAACUUCGUCGUGCUGGGGAUUGAUUAUUGAAAUUAUUGAUCAUCAACGAGGAAUUCCUAGUAAGCGCAAGUCGGCAGCUUGCGUUGAUUACGUCCCUGCCCUUUGUACACACCGCCCGUCGCUACUACCGAUUGAAUGGUUUAGUGAGAUCUUCGGAUUGGUGCCACCGAGUCCAGCAAUGGACACGGUGAAUAUCGAAAAGUCGAUCAAACUUGAUCAUUUAGAGGAAGUAAAAGUCGUAACA
This 330-nucleotide ribosomal RNA is filed under the name uncultured eukaryote. RNAcentral's name for it is "partial 18S ribosomal RNA". It matches the Rfam family "Eukaryotic small subunit ribosomal RNA", at positions 1470 to 1796 of the family's 1831-position model. The record is from RNAcentral.